RNAcentral lists this ribosomal RNA (225 nucleotides) under uncultured Acinetobacter sp. RNAcentral describes it as "partial 16S ribosomal RNA". It matches the Rfam family "Bacterial small subunit ribosomal RNA", at positions 568 to 792 of the family's 1533-position model. The record is from RNAcentral. Lineage: Bacteria; Pseudomonadati; Pseudomonadota; Gammaproteobacteria; Moraxellales; Moraxellaceae.
UCCGUAGGCGGUUUAGUAAGUCGGAUGUGAAAUCCCUGAGCUUAACUUAGGAAUUGCAUUCGAUACUGGAAAGCUAGAGUAUGGGAGAGGAUGGUAGAAUUCCAGGUGUAGCGGUGAAAUGCGUAGAGAUCUGGAGGAAUACCGAUGGCGAAGGCAGCCAUCUGGCCUAAUACUGACGCUGAGGUACGAAAGCAUGGGGAGCAAACAGGAUUAGAUACCCCCGUA